GUUUGUGUGGGAGUUUUAGCAGUCUUGCUAACGCUUAGCUAGCUGUCGAACUGCCGAGGAGGAGCUAACCGUAACGGAUGCAGCCAUUUUCAGCCGUUAACGACCAGUCGGACCGCUGGUGGGUCGCUGCAGCAUGACGUAACAUGGAGUAAGGUGUGGAGACACAGAGAGGUGAAUGAAGAGGAGAUAAACAGGUGGAAAGACACAUGAGGGAGAGGCAGAAGGCUUCAGCUUUCCUGCAUGACUGAACACACACAAUGCAGCUGUCCGAGUGACCCG
Molecule: non-coding RNA, 279 nt
Organism: Plectropomus leopardus (leopard coralgrouper)
Lineage: Eukaryota; Metazoa; Chordata; Actinopteri; Perciformes; Serranidae
Source: RefSeq, a predicted model, not a curated record